This 366-nucleotide ribosomal RNA is filed under the name uncultured eukaryote. RNAcentral describes it as "partial 18S ribosomal RNA". It matches the Rfam family "Eukaryotic small subunit ribosomal RNA", at positions 592 to 976 of the family's 1831-position model. The record is from RNAcentral.
CAAUAGCGUAUAUUAACGUUGUUGCAGUUAAAAAGCUCGUAGUUGGAUUUCUGAAGGGAGCGUCGGCCCGUAUUUACGAGUGCGUGACGUCUCUGUCCAUCCUUGCGGGAAGGCACGGCAUUGAUUUGUUGUGUCGGAUCGCAUCAUUUACUGUGAAAAAAUUAGAGUGUUCAAAGCAGGCUUUCGCUUGAAUACAUUAGCAUGGAAUAAUAAGAUAGGACUUUGGUGCUAUUUUGUUGGUUGAGCCUAAAGUAAUGAUUAAUAGGGAUAGUUGGGGGCACCUGUAUUGCGUUGUCAGAGGUGAAAUUCUUGGAUUUACGCAAGACAAACAGCUGCGAAAGCGUCUGCCAAGGAUGUUUUCAUUAA